RNAcentral lists this long non-coding RNA (584 nucleotides) under Parus major (Great Tit). Its description in RNAcentral is "lncRNA (ENSPMJG00000014434.1)". Lineage: Eukaryota; Metazoa; Chordata; Aves; Passeriformes; Paridae. The record is from RNAcentral.
UUUUUUUUGUCCUAAUUUAUUUCAUUUUAGGGAGUGGGCGUGGGAGGAGAAAAUAUCAUAAAAUCAGUUGAGUGUGAGAUACUGUCAGUAACAUGUUUGUCUUCUUUUGUAGGAACUAUUGAAAGUUACUCACCUGCUCUGUAGUAGUUAUUGGCACAGGCUGGCAUUUAAUGUCAAACUGGCAAAUUAAACUGUAUUUCCAGAUCCAAGGAUUCUGGUAAAACCAAAACAGAUGAGAGGACUGGUGAAACAAUGAAUGUUAACUCAAGAAAUGUGAAUUGUUUUUAAUUUCCUGUGGAAAAGCUUCAGACAUCUAACCUCAAGACAGAAGUAAAUGCAUCGUGUGUUAAUCAGGCAGAAUAAGGAAUAGGAAAACAGGAGUCUGGGUGCAAACAUUUCACAAAUCUCAGUGAUGUGUUUUAUCACUGAGGGGCAGUUUACAGAAGUGUUACUUGAAGUGUUGCACAGACAUUGAGAGACCAGCACCAGUGACACAGGAGCAUCAGGAGGGAUGAUAAAAGGAGGCUUUUCAGCUUAUGCCCUUUCUAAAUGUGGUCAGGAGAAAACAGAAACCUGCUGAGUUC